AGAUUGAACGCUAGCGGGAUGCUUUACACAUGCAAGUCGAACGGCAGCGCGGACUUCGGUCUGGCGGCGAGUGGCGAACGGGUGAGUAAUAUAUCGGAACGUGCCCAGUAGCGGGGGAUAACUACGCGAAAGCGUGGCUAAUACCGCAUACGCCCUACGGGGGAAAGGGGGGAUCGGCAAGACCUCUCACUAUUGGAGCGGCCGAUAUCAGAUUAGCUAGUUGGUGAGGUAAAGGCUCACCAAGGCGACGAUCUGUAGCUUGGUUUGAGAGGACGACCAGCCACACGUGGGACUGAGACCACGGCCCAGACCUCCGUACGGGAGGCAG
RNAcentral lists this ribosomal RNA (328 nucleotides) under uncultured soil bacterium. RNAcentral describes it as "bacterial SSU rRNA". It matches the Rfam family "Bacterial small subunit ribosomal RNA", at positions 26 to 351 of the family's 1533-position model. The record is from RNAcentral.